This 86-nucleotide transfer RNA is filed under the name Palmaria decipiens. RNAcentral describes it as "tRNA-Ser". It matches the Rfam family "tRNA". Rfam says of the family: Transfer RNA (tRNA) molecules are approximately 80 nucleotides in length. Their secondary structure includes four short double-helical elements and three loops (D, anti-codon, and T loops). The record is from RNAcentral. Lineage: Eukaryota; Rhodophyta; Florideophyceae; Palmariales; Palmariaceae.
GGGAUGAUGGCUGAGUGGUUUAAAGCGCCAAUUUUGAAAAUUGUUAUAAGUAUUACUUAUCAUAGGUUCGAAUCCUAUUCCUCCCG